GGUGGCGAGUGGCGGACGGGUGAGGAAUACGUCGGAAUCUGCCUUAUCGUGGGGGAUAACGUAGGGAAACUUACGCUAAUACCGCAUACGACCUACGGGUGAAAGCGGGGGAUCGCAAGACCUCGCGCGAUAAGAUGAGCCGAUGUCCGAUUAGCUAGUUGGCGGGGUAAUGGCCCACCAAGGCGACGAUCGGUAGCUGGUCUGAGAGGAUGAUCAGCCACACUGGGACUGAGACACGGCCCAGACUCCUACGGGAGGCAGCAGCCGAGAAUAUUCCGCAAUGGGCGCAAGCCUGACGGAGCGACGCCGCGUGAUCGAUGAAGCCUUUCGGGGUGUAAAGAUCUUCUAUGAGGGAAGACAAUUCGACUGUACCUCAUGAAUAAGAGGCUGCUA
Molecule: ribosomal RNA, 393 nt
Filed under: uncultured bacterium
Lineage: Bacteria
Description: bacterial SSU rRNA
Rfam family: Bacterial small subunit ribosomal RNA
Source: RNAcentral